RNAcentral lists this long non-coding RNA (4877 nucleotides) under Sus scrofa (pig). RNAcentral's name for it is "lncRNA (ENSSSCG00000056741.1)". Lineage: Eukaryota; Metazoa; Chordata; Mammalia; Artiodactyla; Suidae. The record is from RNAcentral.
CAGUGUUAAUUUAUGAAAGGGAGAUGCUAGUAGCCAAUUUAGAGAGGUAGAAUGGAUGAAAUGUGUUAGGAAUGCAAGCUCUAGGUCAACUCUCAAGCAUGGUACAGAUGCUAGAUUUAUCAUGGCUCUUACUGUUCCUAAUUCCUAGUAAACUUGUAAAAAGCUUUGAAUGGUGUGACGACAAUUUGGGCAUUUUGAAGUGUAAGUACUAAUUGUAUAAAACUAAAAAAUUUAUUGUUAUGGUUGAAUUAGGGUUUGAAAAAAUCUUGCCCUAGGCUCCUUUCGAAAGAGCACAAGUUUUCUAAAGUAUCUGCAGUUGUCUUUAGAUGUUUCCCUGGUUCAUUUUCUUUCUUAAGGUAUAAGCCUUAUGCAGUUGUUUUGGUAAUAAGAUACAUUUUAUGAGCGGAGUGAAAAAAAAAAAAGUCUCUUCCCAGUGAUGGUGAAAGCAACAGGAAAGUUUCCUGCUAACAGUACCUAUGUGUGAGUUUUUUAAAAAAAUUAUUUUAUUAUAGUUGAUUUACAGUGUUCUGUUAAUUUCUGCUGUACAGAAAGUGGUACAUAUAUAUAUAUACAUUCUUUUUUUCACAUUAUCCUCCAACAUGUUCCAUCACAAGUGAUUAGAUAUGGUUCCCUGUGCUAUACAGCAGGAUCUCACUGCUUAUCCGCUCCAAAUGCAAUAGUUUGCAUCUACUAACCCGAGAUUCCCAGUCCAUCCCACUCUCUCCCCCUCCCUUUUGGCAACCACAAGUCUGUUCUCCACGUCCAUGAGUUUGUUUAUUUUCUGAAGAUGGGUUCAUUUGUGCCAUGUAUUAGAUUCCAGAUAUAAGUGGUAGCAUAUGGUAUUUAUCUUUCUUUCUGUCUCACUUUACUUAGUAUGAGAGUCUCUGGUUCCAUCCAUGUUGCUGCAAAUGGCAUUGUGUUAUGCUUUUUUUUUAUGGCUGUAUUAUCAUGUUAUCCAGCUUUAUUGACUUGGAGGAGGUGCCCAGGGCACGACUAUGUUGUCUACGGAAUAAUUCCAAGAUGAUAGGGAAUCCACGGUCAGUCCAAAGGCCCUUCCUUUGAACUGUUCUUCGGGAGGUGACCCAGAGCACAAAGUCUGAAAGCCAAGAGUCUGUCUCUGGACACAUGUGAUCAGGGCAAAUGGCUCUUUUCUUCUCUGUCUGAGGUUCUGUAUUUGUUGAAUGGGAAACCCCCUGCUGGAUUCCUACCUCACAAGCCUGCUCCGUGGGGGUGCUGCAAGGCAUUUGAUGGUGGAGGUUGUUUAAAACCACUUGGUCUUGGUUUAGUUCACUUGUUGGCUGAAUGAGAUGUACUCAAACACUAGAAUAUAUAAAGAAGAGUUCCUUUGGAGCCCACAACUUCUGGGUGACCUGCAAACCGGUGAUCCUUAUCUCGCCAGGUAGAAGGCCAUGCCCUGGAAGCAAGAUGAGAACUCUUUCUGACAUUAAAGUACUGUUUAUGACCUUAUAGAACACCCAGUUUUUCCAAAGAGAUGACACAUUAAGUAAACCAGAACAAAAUCAGCUCUAUUAUCUUGUAAAGGGUCUGUUUUGAUGACUGCAGACAAUGACAGAGAGGAAUUGCUGUGAGCAAUAGGUGUUCUAGUGACUGUAGAGUGAGGAUGGUGCUUUUCACGGGAUUGCUAAAUGGAGCCACUCUUCUCAUUGUCGAGUCUGGACAUCUGUUGAAUGCCACAGAUUGCAGAGUAAACCAGUGGGAGCUUUGAUGCUGCACUGGUAGACUGCCCGCCAAGACCUGCUGUGUUCUGAAUUGCAGAAGGGCCGGGGGCCGGGGGGGAGAGGAGGACACUAGAGACAGGACUGGAUGCGAGAUCUGGUUCUGCUGGGGGCACUCGCCCCGCUAGUGGAAAGUGGAGGUUGUACGAAUCUGGAGAGAGACACUGCCUUAGGGUCAGGCUAGUCCCAGUCCAGGUGUGUGGUUUCCAACUCUGGUUUGAAAUGGAGAGAAAAACAUGCUUUCAGCCUCGUGUCAUGGGGCCACUUGGGAGUGAAUGAGGAUGAGCAGGGGUCCUUGGCACGGGUAGAGAGAGUUCCUAGUGGCCUUGGGACUAAGCGCAAGGACCAAGUGUGAUCUUCAACCAGCAUUUUCAAGCAGUUCCUGCAGCUGGGCUUCCAUUGCCUCGUCAGCCUUUUGCUUUGCUGGCGUCUCUUCUUCUGUCUGCCCCAUGGCUGAGUGAAGUAACCCGCUGUCUCUGCAGCGAUCUGCCAGGUAUCUAUAGGCAAAACCAAAUAAGGACGUAAAUAAAAGUUCUUGUUUCCAGAGAUUCAUUCUUUCAGAAUGCAGCCCCCAGCGUCUGCUGUUGUCUUGGUUAGUUUGCUGUGCAGAUUUUCUCCGUCUCCGCGUGUCUGGCUUGAUGGGUAAUCUUCCCAGUGUGGAAGAAGAGUUCAGAUUGGAAACAACGGGAUCUCAAGCAUUAGAAAAGCUUGAAGAAUUCAUUUUUCAUACCUGCUGCAAUGCAUUAAUGACCAAAGGUUACAUAAAACACCAAGUAUUUGAAUCUCAUGCUACAGAAAGUUAGCGAAAAUGCUUCAUGCCAUUUUCCGCUGCUAUUCCAAGACCACAUCUGUUUGGAACUGAACUGUAGCACGUGUGCCGGGGAACCUGUAUGAAAUUAACUUUUAUAGCUGCCUUUACAAGCAGGAUCCUUUAUUGUCUACAACUUGGCUGGGUUUCAGGAAGUUCCCGAAGUGAUUUAUUGUCAUAUGUGCCUAUUCUAUGGUGGCUGAUGAAACUGAUAUAUUAUUGAACAUAUGCAGUCAUUCCGACCAGCGACAACAGAUCAUCUAAGCCUUUUAUCCAAAAGGAUCGAAGAGUUCACGUUGUGGAAGAGAAGAGAAAGUUGACUAUUUUGUUUUAAGUGAAAUAAUUACUUGCAGGAGCAAAACAUUUGUUACCAAUCCUGUACCUCUUUUCUUUUUGCCAACAUAGCCAAAACGUUAGAAUCUAGAAUGCAUUGAUUAAUUAAAUACUUAAGGUAAUAUUCCCCCAACAGAUGUUAAGUCUCAUUCUUAUAAUAUCUGGGAUGGUUAGUUUUUCUUAUUAGACCAUGAUAUUAAGAGUUAAAUAUCAGGAAAUUAAAUUUCUUUCAUGUUACUUAAUGCCAAAAAAAAAAAAAAAUCCUCCAAACCAAUCUCCCCCCUCAAAAAAAUCCAACCCCCAAAACUCUCUCUUCUUGUUUAACAGAGGGGCCCAUUUGUCCAACCAGUCAUCUUUCAUAUGGUUGCAAGAGGAAUUUGAUGAAAUGGCAGGUGAUAACAACAGAAUCUCUCUUUACUAGUCAAAAAACUUCAGAGCAUAUUUUUCUGUUGAUGAAUCAGAACUUCCGUAUGUGAGAGACAGUGCCAUUAACUAAUAAACAAGAACAACAAUUGCAUUUGAUGAAAUUAUAGGAAAGAAAAAAUUAAAAUGUAGUCCUAGGACUGCAUUUAUAGCGUAUAAAAUAUUUAAUCCUGUGGCAAAAUCUGGAGUUUCUGGAUUCAGUGUACACUGGCUCAGCCAGAGAGCUAAUUGACACAUUCAUAUUUCAAUUGGAAAUGAGUAGUCAAAGAUCUGAGAGUUUCAGAUGGAUUUGGAAAUAAAGCUGCAAGACUUCAGGUCGUAUAAGGCUGUGUUAACCAGUGAGAAGAUUUAGAUCCAGUUUUCUAGUUACAGUGUCAAUUGAAAACAUUUGAUUUAUAGCGUCAGUGGAAAACAAACAGACAAGCAAAUCCCCAGGUGUUGUAUAAACACUGUCCACAGAGUCGUUUAUAAGACAAAGGUAGGGAGAGUUACUCCAAAUGGAAUUAGAGACAGUUGCUUUUUUUUUUUUCUCCCCUCUUGAUGAUAUAGAUGCCCAUUUUUGGGGAACAGAAUUUGGAUGCUAGUUGGGGGAUUCUGUCUAAUUCUCUUCCAGAAGCAUUUUUUCUUUCCUUUUAAAAAUGUGAUUCAUAGAGUUACCACCUUACUCAUCUGCAAAAGAAGUUUAGGUAUCAGCAGAUGUCAUUAGCUCUCUAAAAAUAGAACAGUAGAAACUGAAUUUAAGAGACUUAGCAGCAUUGAUUAACAAACUAAUCUCUCAAAUUCUGAGAUUGUGUCUGUGUACAGGCUGACAUGGAAUGAAUCCUAGCUGAGUGAGUGCCUUGGUAUUCAGUGUGCUUUUCCCCUCGCUUUAGGCUCGCUGGUUUGAUGGGGUUAGUUGCAUGUUUCAAAAAUGCGAUUCCCAGACGGGUGAGGUAGCGUCAUAUAGCGAAAUGAUCGUUCAUAGCUCUGGACAAUUGCUAAGCGUCAGAACACUCUGUUGCUGAGGCACCGCCGCACACUCUCGAGGCUGGAAGCAGACGAUGCCGAGUGCGGGGCUUACUACCAGGAACAUGGUCUUUGCUUAUGAAGGACACUGCACUUUCAAGGAGCUUGGAAACAGUUGAAUGUGGGUAAUGUUAAUUUGGUGUAAAACUUCAAGUGGCAUAUUACUGAUGCCAAAGAACAAAGCAAUUGAGGAUCUGGUAACGAAUUACUAACAGCACUGCCACUAUUUUAUGUAAGUGUGAACAGGAAUCAUAUGUUUCCUGUAGUUCAUCCUUGUUGGUGUACUUGGUGUUAUUGGUAAAAGUGUGAUAACGAGCAGCUCGUUGAUUACUGAGAAUUGCAGUGGGCUCCUUUGAUAACAGUAUUUUGUACCCAUGCCCAGGAGGGCCCUGGGCACAGUGGACAUUCUUUAAAAAAGUGAAACAAUUUAGUCGUUGUCGUGAUUCAAAGGCACCAUCACAGACGUGAGUCAGGAGACCCUGCCAUCAUCAUCCGUCGCUAAUGACCCUGUGAUUUGCUGUUGCAGGAAGCUGCUGAGACGACCACAGGGAGUUGUCUGGACUUUGCAGUGU